GAGUCUGCACGAGCAGCGCAUGCUCCUGGGUCCAGUCUGAUAGAGACGAGAUGGCGGCAGCAGCGUCUAAGAGGAUGAGCGUCCGACAGAGAGUUCCUGCUAAGAGCGACCGGGACCGGACCAGCCAGGAAGUCAGCACCGGGGUGAGUACCUGGCUCUGGGACCAGUGUGACAGUUUAAUUGGUUGCCACAUGAACUGGGGAUGUUACUGCAGAAGUUCAUGCGGUCGCUCUGAUUUGUGCCCUGGUGGUUUUUAAUCUGUGUGUGUGCUGACAUCCAGCCUGUACGGGCAACAGGAUGAGGGAUUUGUUGAGUCCAGAUCGCCGUUGAGUCAGGACGCUGAAGUUAGCUUCCAGUUCUGCACUUAAGGGAAAGUUAACUUACUGCUGAGCUUUUGCUCCUCUUGUUGUGAAAGCUGUCAGACAUUUUAAGUUUUAACUCUGUCUGAAAAUCCAAAAAAGAAACUUCCCCAUCGUAGGACUACUAGGAAAAGAUGUGAGUCCGGCUGGACCUGCUGGGACUUUGUAAACAAAUCUGAGGCGCUAAAUCUGUACUGUCAGUGUGUUUUCUAUAGAGAGCAAAACAUAGUGAGGGCUACAUGGAAAGGAGGGCAGAAGAAGGAAGGAAAGAUACAGAAAGACAGAGAGAAGCAAACUGAGACAAACAUUUGGAAGGUUUAGUAGUUAAAGGACUGCAGCCCCAAGUUGUAGCAGUAUCUUGGAGCUGAAUUUUUCUCUUUAGUGUUUAUUCAGAAUAUUUAAUAAUUCACAGACUCAGCUUUAAGAUUUCUUUAUUUGACUGUUCUGCAGAAUGAAGUGAUGCAGUCCUGAAAAUCAAGCUCUUCACAGUCCUCCCAAAGCACACUCUGUACUGCCCUCCCUUUCCAGGACGUCCUCUCCAUAUUUGGUCCAGUCCAGUCAGUAUCUCUGAACCUACAAUGAAUCACUCUGAGAACUUGGCCGGAAAAGUAGUUUAGUGCACAUUCCAACGAGAUCGCUUCAUCCUGUUCCUCACAUGUUGGCCAGAGUCCAAGGAAACCCAACCUAACAGAAAAACAUCUGGUUUCUAGUUUUUCAGAAAAACAGAGAGGAAGAGAUGGACUUAAACAACACCACUGUGACAAAUCCUUCAGAACAUCUGGACAGUCAAAGAAUCAUCGGAGAGUUCACACUGGAGAGAAACCGUACAGCUGUGACCAGUGUGGGAAGGUUUUCUCUACUUUAAGUAAUCUAAAAAGUCACAAAUAUGUUCACAUGGGGGAGAAACCAUACUGGUGUGAGCAGUGUGGGAAAAAUUUUACCCGAUCAUUGGAGCUAAAAAUUCACCAACGCAUUCACACGGGAGAGAAACCGUACAGCUGUGACCAGUGUGGGAAGGUUUUCUCUACUUUAAGUAAUCUAAAAAGUCACAAAUAUCUUCACAUGGGGGAGAAACCAUACUGGUGUGAGCAGUGUGGGAAAUAUUUUAUCCGAUCAUUGGAGCUAAAAAUUCACCAACGCAUUCACACGGGAGAGAAAGCGUAGCGGUGUGAACAGCGUGGGAAAAGAUUUACUCACAGUAAAACCCUGAAACGGCACCAAUGCGGUCACGCUGCAUCGCUGUAAACAUUUUUCAGAGCCAAGCUAGCUCUUGCCUGCUGCCUCCUCCUCAUGCUGUGUUAUAUUGUGAGCUUCUCUUUAAACUGAGAGAUAGACAACAGUAACUUUAUAUUCUGAGCAGCAUGUGCGUUAAUGUGUUAACUGUUUCUACUGAUGUUAUUAUGAAUUCGUAAACAAGUGUCAAUGAACUGAAUUUUUGUACAUUUUUAAUACACUUCAGAUCUCAAACCUGUAAAAUAAUAUUUAAAACUCACCGUUCAGCUGCUGGCACUAUUCCACUAGCACUGCGAGGAAGAAGUGCUUCCUUACCGUCCAUUAAUCUGCCAAGUGCUCAUAAGAUCACUUGGUAAAUAAAAUGUAGGGACUUUAGGAGCCGUCAGCCCUUCCUCUCUGAUCUCUCUGGGACGUCCCAGAUGACCACUCUCUCUCUGGGGAAGUCGGAUAUGAAACUCAGCAGAAGGACAUAAAUCCUUGAGAUGAGUUUUAUUAACCCAAGUGUAAAUAAAUGUACAGUCACUGGUUCAGUAAUAA
This is an RNA transcript of Micropterus salmoides (largemouth bass), 2129 nucleotides long. It is a transcript of the gene named putative zinc finger protein 735, with no coding region annotated. The record is from RefSeq and is a predicted model, not a curated record. NCBI's taxonomy places the organism in Eukaryota, Metazoa, Chordata, Actinopteri, Centrarchiformes, Centrarchidae. The transcript has 2 exons.